RNAcentral lists this transfer RNA (64 nucleotides) under Triatoma infestans. RNAcentral describes it as "tRNA-Asn". The record is from RNAcentral. Lineage: Eukaryota; Metazoa; Arthropoda; Insecta; Hemiptera; Reduviidae.
UAAUUGAAGCCAAAACAGAGGCUUUUCAUUGUUAAUGAAAGAACUGAUCAACAAUCCAAUUAAA